AGUGAACGCUGGCGGUAGGCCUAACACAUGCAAGUCGAACGGCAGCACAGUAAGAGCUUGCUCUUACGGGUGGCGAGUGGCGGACGGGUGAGGAAUACAUCGGAAUCUACUUUUUCGUGGGGGAUAACGUAGGGAAACUUACGCUAAUACCGCAUACGACCUACGGGCGAAAGCAGGGGAUCUUCGGACCUUGCGCGAUUGAAUGAGCCGAUGUCGGAUUAGCUAGUUGGCGGGGUAAAGGCCCACCAAGGCGACGAUCCGUAGCUGGUCUGAGAGGAUGAUCAGCCACACUGGAACUGAGACACGGUCCAGACUCCUACGGGAGGCAGCAGUGGGGAAUAUUGGACAAUGGGCGCAAGCCUGAUCCAGCCAUACUGCGUGGGUGAAGAAGGCCUUCGGGUUGUAAAGCCCUUUUGUUGGGAAAGAAAAGCAGCAGGUUAAUACCCCGCUGUUCUGACGGUACCCAAAGAAUAAGCACCGGCUAACUUCGUG
RNAcentral lists this ribosomal RNA (492 nucleotides) under uncultured bacterium. RNAcentral describes it as "partial 16S ribosomal RNA". It matches the Rfam family "Bacterial small subunit ribosomal RNA", at positions 29 to 507 of the family's 1533-position model. The record is from RNAcentral.